This 628-nucleotide ribosomal RNA is filed under the name uncultured bacterium. Its description in RNAcentral is "bacterial SSU rRNA". It matches the Rfam family "Bacterial small subunit ribosomal RNA", at positions 338 to 1414 of the family's 1533-position model. The record is from RNAcentral.
CCUACGGGAGGCAGCAGUGGGGAAUUUUGGACAAUGGGCGCAAGCCUGAUCCAGCAAUGCCGCGUGAGUGAAGAAGGCCUUCGGGUUGUAAAGCUCUUUUGUCAGGGAAGAAACGGUUGGGGCUAAUAUCCUCGGCUAAUGACGGUACCUGAAGAAUAAGCACCGGCUAACUACGUGCCAGCAGCCGCGGUAAUACGUAGGGUGCAAGCGUUAAUCGGAAUUACUGGGCGUAAAGCGUGCGCAGGCGGUUUUGUAAGUCUGUCGUGAAAGCCCCGGGCUUAACCUGGGAAUUGCGAUGGAGACUGCAAGGCUUGAAUCUGGCAGAGGGGGGUAGAAUUCCACGUGUAGCAGUGAAAUGCGUAGAGAUGUGGAGGAACACCGAUGGCGAAGGCAGCCCCCUGGGUCAAGAUUGACGCUCAUGCACGAAAGCGUGGGAAGCAAACAGGAUUAGAUACCCUGGUAGUCCACGCCCUAAACGAUGUCUACUAGUUGUCGGGUCUUAAUUGACUUGGUAACGCAGCUAACGCGUGAAGUAGACCGCCUGGGGAUACGGUCGCAAGAUUAAAACUCAAAANAGAAGUUAGUACGGCGUGAGACGUAGACCGACGGACGACGACGAGGGAGGAGG